Molecule: long non-coding RNA, 2695 nt
Organism: Triticum aestivum (bread wheat)
Lineage: Eukaryota; Viridiplantae; Streptophyta; Magnoliopsida; Poales; Poaceae
Exons: 2
Source: RefSeq, a predicted model, not a curated record
ACAUAUGAAAAGAGGCUCCAGAAUCCAGAACCCACGAAGAUGUACCUGACUGUGUAGAUGCCUGUGAUGGUGAGGAAGAUGGUGCAGUCACAGCAGCAGCAGAGCCAGUCGACGAGGAGCCUGAGGAAGCAAGAAGACGCUUGAGGCGAACAAUGUCCUGGUCAGUGAGUGACGGAGUCGAGGAAGACACAGGAGGCCCGCUGGAGGAGGAGCGCCUCUGGUCUCGCUUCUUUUGGCGGCAAUCAGACUCUGGAUGACUGGGCCGGGAGCAGUAACCACAGACGGUGUCACGACGCGAAGUGCCCUUCUCAGCAUAGGGAGGACGGCUCACCCCCCUGGAGGAGUAGGCAGGAGCGGUGGAGCAGUGAGGCGAGCAGACGACACAGGAGCCCGGGCAGCCAAUACUGACGGAACCAGAAGCAACCCAGCAGAGCGAAGGCGUGUCUCCUCGGCACGAAGCUCAGCAAGCACCUCCGAGAGAGGAACACGACCACGAGCAAGCAAGUGAGCACGUCUGGGCUCAAACUCAGAUCGAAGACGAGAUAAGAACUCAUGAACCCUCUGAAACUCCAAGUCAGACCGUGUAGUCUGACAGCAACGGCAAGUUCCACAAACAACUGUCCGCAAUGAGUCAAGCUGGCGCCAGAUGGCAGAGCACUGUGAAUAGAACUCAUCAACAGUCAAGUCACCCUGCUGAAGAGCAUGCUCCUGUCGCACCACAGAUAAGUAAAGAGCAUCACCAGAGGGCUGAUAACGCUGACAGAGAUAAGACCACAUCGCUGCAACGGUGCCGAGGCCUAUGAACUCUGACGCAAACUGAGGAAGGACACUCGCAGUGAGAACAGCAGCAGCACGGGCAUCAUCAUUGCACCACUGAGUGUAAGCAGCCAGAUCAUCCCGGUAGACAGCAAGAGCAUCUGAAUAGGCAGAUACCUGUUGAUCAUAAGCAUCAACCGCAGCAUUAUCAAGCGCCUUGGUUGCAUCGCGAUUAGCCUGAGAAGCAUCAGGAGCAAGGACCGGCGGCACCGGCGGGGUAGGAGCCACAGGAGCAACAGGGCAUGGCGGACAGGAGACCUCGUCAGAGAGAACGCCCCAUAGAAGGAGACCACGCAUAUGAAUGCGCAUGAACCCCGCAAACUCGGCAUAGUUGGUGCCAUCGAAGAUCACCGAGCACCGAGGGACGGCGACAUAGCACGAAGAGGACAUAAGGAAACCGCUCUGUUUUUUUUUGGUCAACCGCUAUAGGACCCGAUCUGGAUCGGACUGGAUCGAGAAGCAGGCGCUGAAUCAAGCGACGAGGGCAGGGGCACCGCAGCGGGAGAGGCCUGGAGGAGAGGCAGCGGACUUGGGCGGCCGGACCUGGCGGCGGCCGGGCUGGGCGACGGCGGCCGGACCUAGCGGCGGCCAGGCUGGGCGGCGGCGGCCGGGUCUGGCUGCGACCGGGCGGGGCGGCUGCGGCCCGACAAUGUAGCGGCGGCGGCCGAACGGAGCUGGACGAGACCAGCACGGAGAGAGCCGCAAGCCACGGCCGUGCUUGAGAGCGGCUGCUCGAGAGGAGCCGGGCAGGGGCGUGCUCGAGAGCUCCUGCUCACGCGAAGACGGGUGACGACGAGCCUGACGAGGACGAGUCGGAGCAGAGGAUGGCCGGAGAUCGAGGAUGGGAUCUAGCGACUAGGAUGGAGCGCACGGAGUUGCAUCGUGCGGGAGAGGGAAGAACCUAACAUCUGAUACCAUGUUGGAUAAUGAGCAACUAGUAUUUUCUGAGGGCCAAAGGCCAUUACAUAUACAUGUGUGUGAAAGUGCAGAAAAGCCCCUUAUACAAUGGGGAUGUACACAAUAAACUAUACACAUCUAACAACAAGAACUUGGAAUUUAUAGGACAACAAAGUGUACAUUCUAAAAUCUGAACUAACACAAAUAUUCUUUGUUGCCUGUGCAUUUUCCUCCCCUGAAAGAUAAUACUGUUGCCCUCCAUCUGAUUCUUUCCUUCCUCAUUUACUCGAGGAAUUACAUUAUCUUUUUUUUUGCGACAGCUGGUUUAGUAGGCCUGACUUGUGAUCAAACUUGGUGGUGGUUCUGCAUGGUCUGGCGCUCACUUCUUAACUUCUCUCGAUUUAUGUUUUUUUUUUCUUGUUUCAAUUCAUAUCAAACUGAUUAUAUUUGCACAUAGGUUGAAGACUUUAUUUCUCGCGUGGAGGUAUUUUGGCCGAAGGAACUGAAUUUUUUCCAGUUCCUAAGCACUUACCUCGUGUUUGCUUCUAAAGCAUACGUGAAUUAGGUGCCGGUUUGGAUCAGUUACAAUGGUGCGGUAGAGCAGAUUGGUUCAGACGUGUUGCAUGGGAAGCAAUUUCUUGAAUGUCAUUGGGAGUGCCUGGCUGACGUAUGCGGUCAUCGGGAGCGGUUGUAUUGUUUGGUCCUCGACAAUUUUGACUGAAGAUUCCUGGGCUUUACCAUUGCGAAAUCAUGUGAGAAGAGGUGUUCCAAGAAUUCUUUUGAAAGGCAUGUGUAUACAGGCCAUUUGUCUUACUACAAUUUUUCUUUUUGUCUUUGUGAGUUGCUGAAAAGAUCUUGAGAUGUUUGAUUGGUUUCAACUCAGUUGAAGUUGUUAGGAUGAUUUGGUUGCAUCUUCUGGGAAAUGUACCGUGAUGGAUUCAUAUAGAUUCUUGAGUGGUGCAACCCUUUGUACUGUGUUUUC